Molecule: ribosomal RNA, 1116 nt
Filed under: uncultured Polynucleobacter sp.
Lineage: Bacteria; Pseudomonadati; Pseudomonadota; Betaproteobacteria; Burkholderiales; Burkholderiaceae
Description: bacterial SSU rRNA
Rfam family: Bacterial small subunit ribosomal RNA
Source: RNAcentral
CUGAUCCAGCAAUGCCGCGUGAGUGAAGAAGGCCUUCGGGUUGUAAAGCUCUUUUGUCAGGGAAGAAACAGCAGCUCUAACACAGUCUGCGAAUGACGGUACCUGAAGAAUAAGCACCGGCUAACUACGUGCCAGCAGCCGCGGUAAUACGUAGGGUGCAAGCGUUAAUCGGAAUUACUGGGCGUAAAGCGUGCGCAGGCGGUUAUGUAAGACAGGCGUGAAAUCCCCGGGCUUAACCUGGGAAUUGCGCUUGUGACUGCAUAGCUAGAGUAUGUCAGAGGGGGGUAGAAUUCCGCGUGUAGCAGUGAAAUGCGUAGAGAUGUGGAGGAAUACCAAUGGCGAAGGCAGCCCCCUGGGAUAAUACUGACGCUCAUGCACGAAAGCGUGGGGAGCAAACAGGAUUAGAUACCCUGGUAGUCCACGCCCUAAACGAUGCUGACUAGUUGUUCGGGAAUUUAUUCCUGAGUAACGUAGCUAACGCGUGAAGUCAGCCGCCUGGGGAGUACGGUCGCAAGAUUAAAACUCAAAGGAAUUGACGGGGACCCGCACAAGCGGUGGAUGAUGUGGAUUAAUUCGAUGCAACGCGAAAAACCUUACCUACCCUUGACAUGCCACUAACGAAGUAGAGAUACAUUAGGUGCCCGUAAGGGAAAGUGGACACAGGUGCUGCAUGGCUGUCGUCAGCUCGUGUCGUGAGAUGUUGGGUUAAGUCCCGCAACGAGCGCAACCCUUGUCUUUAGUUGCUACGCAAGAGCACUCUAAAGAGACUGCCGGUGACAAACCGGAGGAAGGUGGGGAUGACGUCAAGUCCUCAUGGCCCUUAUGGGUAGGGCUUCACACGUCAUACAAUGGUGCAUACAGAGGGUUGCCAACCCGCGAGGGGGAGCUAAUCUCAGAAAAUGCAUCGUAGUCCGGAUCGUAGUCUGCAACUCGACUACGUGAAGCUGGAAUCGCUAGUAAUCGCGGAUCAGAAUGUCGCGGUGAAUACGUUCCCGGGUCUUGUACACACCGCCCGUCACACCAUGGGAGUGGGUUUUGCCAGAAGCCGUUAGCCUAACCGCAAGGAGGGCGACGACCACGGCAGGGUUCAUGACUGGGGUGAAGUCGUAACAAGGU